UACGGGGGGAGCAAGCGUUGUUCGGAUUUACUGGGCGUAAAGGGCGCGUAGGCGGCCAUCGCAAGUCAAUUGUGAAAUCUCCGGGCUUAACUCGGAAAGGUCAACUGAUACUGCGAGGCUAGAGUGCGGAAGGGGCAACUGGAAUUCUCGGUGUAGCGGUGAAAUGCGUAGAUAUCGAGAGGAACACCUGCGGCGAAGGCGGGUUGCUGGGCUGAUACUGACGCUGAGGCGCGAAAGCAUGGGGAGCGAACAGG
This 254-nucleotide ribosomal RNA is filed under the name uncultured bacterium. Its description in RNAcentral is "partial 16S ribosomal RNA". It matches the Rfam family "Bacterial small subunit ribosomal RNA", at positions 524 to 776 of the family's 1533-position model. The record is from RNAcentral.